Non-coding RNA from Paramuricea clavata, 203 nucleotides. NCBI's taxonomy places the organism in Eukaryota, Metazoa, Cnidaria, Anthozoa, Malacalcyonacea, Plexauridae. The record is from the annotation of a GenBank genome assembly.
UAUUUAUUAAAGUGCAUGUCUAUCAAACAAUAGUGCUAUGAUACAACUAUCUGCAGUAACGUAGCCAGUGCGGCGGCAAUAUUUACUGGAUAAAUUUUGACUUUCUAAAGUCUCUAGAAUUACAGAACUUCUCGCAUUUUGAGACUAGUGCUGAAGAAAGACGAAAACAGUCCUUUUUUAUCAUUAUUGCAGUCCCCCCCCCC